RNAcentral lists this ribosomal RNA (374 nucleotides) under Shigella sonnei. Its description in RNAcentral is "bacterial SSU rRNA". It matches the Rfam family "Bacterial small subunit ribosomal RNA", at positions 1 to 369 of the family's 1533-position model. The record is from RNAcentral. Lineage: Bacteria; Pseudomonadati; Pseudomonadota; Gammaproteobacteria; Enterobacterales; Enterobacteriaceae.
UUAAAUUGAAGAGUUUGAUCAUGGCUCAGAUUGAACGCUGGCGGCAGGCCUAACACAUGCAAGUCGAACGGUAACAGGAAACAGCUUGCUGUUUCGCUGACGAGUGGCGGACGGGUGAGUAAUGUCUGGGAAACUGCCUGAUGGAGGGGGAUAACUACUGGAAACGGUAGCUAAUACCGCAUAAUGUCGCAAGACCAAAGAGGGGGACCUUCGGGCCUCUUGCCAUCGGAUGUGCCCAGAUGGGAUUAGCUAGUAGGUGGGGUAACGGCUCACCUAGGCGACGAUCCCUAGCUGGUCUGAGAGGAUGACCAGCCACACUGGAACUGAGACACGGUCCAGACUCCUACGGGAGGCAGCAGUGGGGAAUAUUGCAC